UGCAAGUCGAGCGGACAGAAGGGAGCUUGCUCCCGGAUGUUAGCGGCGGACGGGUGAGUAACACGUGGGUAACCUGCCUGUAAGACUGGGAUAACUCCGGGAAACCGGAGCUAAUACCGGAUAGUUCCUUGAACCGCAUGGUUCAAGGAUGAAAGACGGUUUCGGCUGUCACUUACAGAUGGACCCGCGGCGCAUUAGCUAGUUGGUGGGGUAAUGGCUCACCAAGGCGACGAUGCGUAGCCGACCUGAGAGGGUGAUCGGCCACACUGGGACUGAGACACGGCCCAGACUCCUACGGGAGGCAGCAGUAGGGAAUCUUCCGCAAUGGACGAAAGUCUGACGGAGCAACGCCGCGUGAGUGAUGAAGGUUUUCGGAUCGUAAAGCUCUGUUGUUAGGGAAGAACAAGUGCGAGAGUAACUGCUCGCACCUUGACGGUACCUAACCAGAAAGCCACGGCUAACUACGUGCCAGCAGCCGCGGUAAUACGUAGGUGGCAAGCGUUGUCCGGAAUUAUUGGGCGUAAAGGGCUCGCAGGCGGUUUCUUAAGUCUGAUGUGAAAGCCCCCGGCUCAACCGGGGAGGGUCAUUGGAAACUGGGAAACUUGAGUGCAGAAGAGGAGAGUGGAAUUCCACGUGUAGCGGUGAAAUGCGUAGAGAUGUGGAGGAACACCAGUGGCGAAGGCGACUCUCUGGUCUGUAACUGACGCUGAGGAGCGAAAGCGUGGGGGAGCGAACAGGAUUAGAUACCCUGGUAGUCCACGCCGUAAACGAUGAGUGCUAAGUGUUAGGGGGUUUCCGCCCCUUAGUGCUGCAGCUAACGCAUUAAGCACUCCGCCUGGGGAGUACGGUCGCAAGACUGAACUCAAGGAAUUGAC
This 875-nucleotide ribosomal RNA is filed under the name Bacillus sp. (in: firmicutes). Its description in RNAcentral is "bacterial SSU rRNA". It matches the Rfam family "Bacterial small subunit ribosomal RNA", at positions 56 to 914 of the family's 1533-position model. The record is from RNAcentral. Lineage: Bacteria; Bacillati; Bacillota; Bacilli; Caryophanales; Bacillaceae.